GAUAAGGUGACUGAAGAAAUUAAGUGGUAAAUUGUAAAUUUAUAUAUGGGAUAUCCCUCUUAUCA
Molecule: transfer RNA, 65 nt
Filed under: Anaxandra taurina
Lineage: Eukaryota; Metazoa; Arthropoda; Insecta; Hemiptera; Acanthosomatidae
Description: tRNA-Tyr
Source: RNAcentral